This is a long non-coding RNA of Pygocentrus nattereri (red-bellied piranha), 1887 nucleotides long. RefSeq lists it as uncharacterized. Lineage: Eukaryota; Metazoa; Chordata; Actinopteri; Characiformes; Serrasalmidae. The record is from RefSeq and is a predicted model, not a curated record. The transcript is spliced from 2 exons.
CUGUCUCUCUCUCUCUCUCUCUCUCUCUCUCUCUCUCUCUGUUUUUCUCUCCUUGGGAGAGCUGCACAAGGCCCUACAGGGCACGGAAAACGGCCAGGCACCAGGGAAUUUUAUAAGGCAUUUUGGUCUGUAUUGGGUCAGGAUGUGCUUGAAGUGCUCCAGGUCAGUGUACGGGAAGGAAAACUUCCUCUCAGCUGUAGGAGAGCUGUCCUGACCUUGCCGCCGAAUAAAGGAGACCUGAAGGUGCUGAAGAACUGGCGCCCUGUGGCAUUGCUGUGCACAGACUGCAAGUUGCUCUCAAACACAUUAGGCUCAAGAGGUGGUGCAUCUUGACCAGACGUACUGUGUGCCAGAUCCCCCAACAAAUCUUCUUGCUGACCUGCAGUGGACGUUUUUGGGACCAAUUGCACUGGUUACCACAGGCCAUCGUCUAUCUACCUAAAGAAGAAGGAGGACAAGGGCUGGUUCACUGCUGCCUUUCACCUCCAGGUUAUUCAGAGACUCCUUAGUGGCCCUAAAGACUUGGUGUGGAGAGAAGUGGCAUGCAGGAUUUUACGCACUGUUGGGUGAAUGCAACUGGACAGAGCUCUGUUUCUUAUGACCACUAAAGCGCUGGACGUUGAUGGCCUGCCUGCGUUUUAUCGUGGACUUUUUAGAAUUUGGAGUUUUUUUAGCAUGUCUGGAAUAAGCAGCACCUCGUUACACUGGCUUCUGGAGGAACCUGUUAUUUAUGGGUCUCGGCUGGACGUAUCAAGCAAAACAUCUCCCACACUGGUCAGGGUUCUUGCUUCUUCCAACAUCUUUACCCUCCAUCAUCUAGUGGAAGUUGCAGGACCUGGUCUGGACCGUGUGCAGGACCUGGCGAUGCGCUUGGAGGUAAGGUCCUUGUGUGUUGUGGCUAAACUCCUACAGUGCUGGAGGUCAGUGCUGUCCUCUGAGGAACGAGCACUGAAAGAGGACUAUGGUGAAGGAGUGCUCAUCCCUGGUGAGGAUGACCCCUUCCCCAAGGUUACCAUCGUUCCUGACCUGCAGGGAUGUCAGGGCCUCCUCCUGGACUGUAAGAGGAGCUGAGCAUGGACCUGAGUUCAGUCUCUGGCAAGCUGAUUUACUGUGUGAAGGUUUUUAAUAGAAAGAGACUGGAGAACAGGACUAACACGCCGUGGUGAGAUGCUCUGGGACUCGCUGACAAGGUGAAGCUACAGUGGAGAGCACUGUAUAAACCACUGUUAACUAAAAGAGUGGCAGAUCAACAGUGGAGGAUUUUACAUGGCAUUGUUUCAGUUAACUCUUUUAUUUUUAUUUUAAAUCCAGAGGUCACUCCAGGAUGCCAUUUUUGUUUUGAGAGCAAAAGUGUUUUACGCUUUUAUGCACUGUUUUAGGCUACGUCCCCUUUUUGACAUUUUAAAGACUUUGUUUCUGUCUUUUAAUGUGUUUUUUACUGCUCAUACUUUUAUCCUUGGUUUUAUGUAUGUCCAGAGGGAGAGGUUCAAGUGCCAGUUACUUAAUUUUAUUCUUGGUCAGGCCAAACUGGCAGUGUACAUGAGUCAGACAAAUCAUAUGUAGUACGGACCUUCUCUAGACAGGUCAAAUAAAGGAUUCUGAUUGAUUUUAACUACUAUAAGUGUAUGUCUGAUGGUGUCGUGUUGCGGGGAGGCAGUGUGCUCAGUUUUAGAUGAUGAACUUUGGUUUGUACCUGAUUUUAUUUAACACAAAAUGGAUUGUACUUUUUUGUAUUUAUUUAUUUUUAUCUUUUUUCUUUUAUUAUCUAUUAUUUAUUCAGCAACCCGUUCGUUUUUAUGUGCUGGUUUGAGGGCUGAGAUGGCCUGAAGUCACUUUUGCACAAUGUAACGAGAUGUGGAUACAAUAAAGUGCUGUUAAAAGUCAAAA